RNAcentral lists this ribosomal RNA (460 nucleotides) under uncultured bacterium. RNAcentral describes it as "partial 16S ribosomal RNA". It matches the Rfam family "Bacterial small subunit ribosomal RNA", at positions 338 to 795 of the family's 1533-position model. The record is from RNAcentral.
CCUACGGGAGGCAGCAGUGAGGAAUAUUGGUCAAUGGGCGCGAGCCUGAACCAGCCACGUAGCGUGAAGGAUGACUGCCCUACGCGUUGUAAACUUCUUUUGUAAAGGAGUAAAUUGCGGCACGUGUGCCUUUUUGUCUGUACUUUAUGAAUAAGGAUCGGCUAACUCCGUGCCAGCAGCCGCGGUAAUACGGAGGAUCCGAGCGUUAUCCGGAUUUAUUGGGUUUAAAGGGCGCGUAGAUGGGUUGUUAAGUCAGUUGUGAAAGUUCGCGGCUCAACCGUAAAACUGCAAUUGAUACUGGCAGGCUUGAGUGCAGGUGAGGUAGGCGGAAUUCGUGGUGUAGCGGUGAAAUGCGUAGAUAUCACGAAGAACACCGAUGGCGAAGGCAGCUUACUAAACUGCCACUGACAUUGAGGCUCGAAAGUGUGGGGAGCAAACAGGAUUAGAUACCCGAGUAGUC